This 207-nucleotide ribosomal RNA is filed under the name uncultured bacterium. RNAcentral's name for it is "partial 16S ribosomal RNA". It matches the Rfam family "Bacterial small subunit ribosomal RNA", at positions 568 to 774 of the family's 1533-position model. The record is from RNAcentral.
CGCGUAGGCGGUCUGUUAAGUGUGAAGUGAAAUCCCCCGGCUCAACCGGGGACGUGCUUUGCAUACUGGUGGACUUGAGUCCGAGAGGGGGUGGUGGGAUUCCUGGUGUAGGGGUGAAAUCCGUAGAGAUCAGGAGGAACACCGUUGGCGAAGGCGGCCACCUGGAUCGGUACUGACGCUGAGGCGCGAAAGCGUGGGGAGCAAACA